GAGCGCCCCCUGACCGCCCUUUUUCCUGCGGAGCGCCGGUGCAGGUGUGAUGGAGAGAAAGUUUUCAGUGGAGUCUAAUACACUGUACAGAAGCCUUAAGCCUUUCAUGGAAGCACCAUCAGAAAUACAAGAAUACUUGAUACACACAAGUGGAAUUUCCUGAAAUCUACAAAUGUUUUGAAUUAUCACUUCGGAUAAACAAAUAUGAAUGUCCUGGACAGUUUCUAAUAAUGGGAACACUAGGCAUCCUGAUGAAAUAUUCUGGCAAGUGUAUUACAACAGAUAGAGGAGAAUGGUCAAAAAUGUAGGAACAAAUGCUUUUAGCUUAUUUAGUGAUGAGUUCUGCCUGACAAGCGUGGAUGAUCUGUAACUGGAAGGAAGUGUAAUACAUGAAGAGUUUCUGUGGCUUGGAGUGGGAUGUGGUGCUUUUGUAAAGUCUGCUGAAACAGCUGCUGCAAUUUGUUUAGUGGAUAGUGUUUUCAGAAACUGCAUGUGAACCAAAAAUCACUGUCUCUGCAUAUUUAAAAUAGCACUUUUCCCAAAACAUUGUGCUGAAGGAUAGCAGCAGCAGUAUUAGGGAAAUGAGUGUUAAGCUUCAACACAUGGAAAAACCCCUGAGAGUAUUCACCCUUUUAAAAUAUCAUAAGGGUGCGCAGACUUGCUCGCACUGAACAUCUGUAAUAACUCAAAACAAUGGAGACAGGGAGAGAAAGCAAAAUGGGUACACAAACUGAAACCAAGGCUGCUUUUUGAGGGUGGUGUCAUCCAGGAGAUAGGAGGAACUAGAUGAGGUGAUGGUGAUAUGGAAGCAUAAAUGUGAAACACCUGUGAGAAAGAAAUUCAUGUGUCAUGAGAGUAGUGGUUACAGAAAAGGCAAGGGCUAUAGCUUGCAUUGCUGUCUGUACCUAGUGAGGGAGGGAGGAAUUGGGUUAUUAUACUCUGCCAUUUUAGCAUGAAAAGGCCAAUAUCGCAACAGUGGAACUGCCCUUGAAGGAAUGCACUGAUAAUGUUACCUGCUUGCUGCUUGGAGAAGUCAGUGGUGGGAGAAAGGAGUACACACAUUAGAACUGCAUUGAGCAGUCACUUGAAAAGUAGCGGUGCUGUAUCACAGUAACAAAUUUGCUGUAUUAAGCAAAUUGGCAUUCUUCCAUGGAGGAAUGAGUAAUCAUAAAAAGUAUCCAUCUGACUGCUAAAAUGUACGCUAAGGGUCUGACCCAGGUCCAGGAGUGUAUUUGCUCACUGAGCAUCUCCUGUGCUUUGGUUAUUACCAGCUACUUUGGCUAAACACAGCUACCUUUUCAGCCAGCAGCUGUGUAAAUCCGUCUAUUAGUGUAUCAGAAUCUGCAGAUGUUUACUAUAGAGCAACUUUACCUUGAUUGCUUUCAACAGGAUUUAUUUCUGUUAACAAAUGUUGCUGACAAAGGGUAGUUAUUUCCA
Molecule: long non-coding RNA, 1437 nt
Filed under: Columba livia (rock pigeon)
Lineage: Eukaryota; Metazoa; Chordata; Aves; Columbiformes; Columbidae
Description: partial uncharacterized LOC102090565
Source: RNAcentral